Molecule: ribosomal RNA, 1372 nt
Filed under: uncultured bacterium
Lineage: Bacteria
Description: bacterial SSU rRNA
Rfam family: Bacterial small subunit ribosomal RNA
Source: RNAcentral
GAUGAACGCUGGCGGCGUGCCUAAUACAUGCAAGUCGAGCGAACGGACGAGAAGCUUGCUUCUCUGAUGUUAGCGGCGGACGGGUGAGUAACACGUGGAUAACCUACCUAUAAGACUGGGAUAACUUCGGGAAACCGGAGCUAAUACCGGAUAAUAUUUUGAACCGCAUGGUUCAAAAGUGAAAGACGGUCUUGCUGUCACUUAUAGAUGGAUCCGCGCUGCAUUAGCUAGUUGGUAAGGUAACGGCUUACCAAGGCAACGAUGCAUAGCCGACCUGAGAGGGUGAUCGGCCACACUGGAACUGAGACACGGUCCAGACUCCUACGGGAGGCAGCAGUAGGGAAUCUUCCGCAAUGGGCGAAAGCCUGACGGAGCAACGCCGCGUGAGUGAUGAAGGUCUUCGGAUCGUAAAACUCUGUUAUUAGGGAAGAACAUAUGUGUAAGUAACUGUGCACAUCUUGACGGUACCUAAUCAGAAAGCCACGGCUAACUACGUGCCAGCAGCCGCGGUAAUACGUAGGUGGCAAGCGUUAUCCGGAAUUAUUGGGCGUAAAGCGCGCGUAGGCGGUUUUUUAAGUCUGAUGUGAAAGCCCACGGCUCAACCGUGGAGGGUCAUUGGAAACUGGAAAACUUGAGUGCAGAAGAGGAAAGUGGAAUUCCAUGUGUAGCGGUGAAAUGCGCAGAGAUAUGGAGGAACACCAGUGGCGAAGGCGACUUUCUGGUCUGUAACUGACGCUGAUGUGCGAAAGCGUGGGGAUCAAACAGGAUUAGAUACCCUGGUAGUCCACGCCGUAAACGAUGAGUGCUAAGUGUUAGGGGGUUUCCGCCCCUUAGUGCUGCAGCUAACGCAUUAAGCACUCCGCCUGGGGAGUACGACCGCAAGGUUGAAACUCAAAGGAAUUGACGGGGACCCGCACAAGCGGUGGAGCAUGUGGUUUAACUCGAAGCAACGCGAAGAACCUUACCAAAUCUUGACAUCCUUUGACAACUCUAGAGAUAGAGCUUUCCCCUUCGGGGGACAAAGUGACAGGUGGUGCAUGGUUGUCGUCAGCUCGUGUCGUGAGAUGUUGGGUUAAGUCCCGCAACGAGCGCAACCCUUAAGCUUAGUUGCCAUCAUUAAGUUGGGCACUCUAAGUUGACUGCCGGUGACAAACCGGAGGAAGGUGGGGAUGACGUCAAAUCAUCAUGCCCCUUAUGAUUUGGGCUACACACGUGCUACAAUGGACAAUACAAAGGGCAGCGAAACCGUGAGGUCAAGCAAAUCCCAUAAAGUUGUUCUCAGUUCGGAUUGUAGUCUGCAACUCGACUACAUGAAGCUGGAAUCGCUAGUAAUCGUAGAUCAGCAUGCUACGGUGAAUACGUUCCCGGGUCU